This 1038-nucleotide long non-coding RNA is filed under the name Homo sapiens (human). Its description in RNAcentral is "HSALNT0316335". The record is from RNAcentral. Lineage: Eukaryota; Metazoa; Chordata; Mammalia; Primates; Hominidae.
GUGUAUGUCUUCCCUAGCAGGCAGAGAAACAAACAGCACAAACUAAGCUUGACCUUGUUGGAAAUACAGUUUAUCCACAGAGUGAAUGUUGGCUAAAAUUUAAUCUUAUGACAUCAGGAAUGUUCAAAGUUUACACAGGAGGGCCACUGUCAUAAGGACGCCUGGAAGAGUGAAGAAAGGCCUGAUUGAUCACAAGGUCCUAUCAAAUGUCAAAGCUGGCCCUGGCUGACCUCCCAUCUAUUCAGAGCUGCUUUGAUUUAAUCUCCAAACUGGCUGCUUCUCCAGGCUGUGAGUUCUAUCUGCAACCCAUGUGUCAGCAUUGAGAUAUGACCUGCUUCACGCUCCAUUCAUCUCAUUUGAAGGACGGAAAUUAAACUCGAGGGUCGAAGAGGGGAACUGCUCAAAAUACACACACACAUUAACUGAAGCCUUUUGUAGAAGAGAAUUGAAAAUUUCAAGAAGGCAAAGGUGAUGGAAGUGUCUUCAUGAGACCCUUGGGUAACAUAAAUUGGCAAAGAAUUGGAUGAUCUGGGUUCUAAGAUCUGGCCUUAAAACUAGCCAUCUAUUGACUGAGCUGGAGUGCAGUGGUGCAAUUAUGGAUCGAGGUUAACUGCAGUCUCAACUUCUCAACCUUGUGAAUUCAAGCAAUCCUCCCACCUCAGCCUCCCAAGUAGCCGGAACUACAGGCAUUUAACACCACAUCCAGCUAAUUUUUAAAAAAAUAUUUUGUAGAGACCGGGUCUCACCCUGUUGCCCAAGCUGAUCUCAAACUCCAUGGUUCGACCUCCUGAUGCCCAAAUCCUGGAAUUACAGGCAUAAGCCUCUGCACCUGGCUGCUUUCUUCCUCUCAAGAGCUUUUCAGAAUUCAAAUGUUUGUUUCCUGGUUUCUUAGAGUAAACACAGCAAGUAUUCAUGAUAAAUGAAGGCACUAUGGAAGGAAACAACGCUAGCUGUGCUGUCAGAGAAAAAUUGAAAAAAAGUGGCGAUGCAAAAUUUCCAACAUGUAAAUAUUUUCUUUCAUAUGCAGGCAGAAAAUGG